Molecule: long non-coding RNA, 814 nt
Organism: Danio rerio (zebrafish)
Lineage: Eukaryota; Metazoa; Chordata; Actinopteri; Cypriniformes; Danionidae
Source: Ensembl
GUCUAGAAGAAGACAACGAUACGAUGACCACAACCAACACGAGGUUCACGGCUCUACAGAAUUCUCUUCUGAUGUUUAGCUGUGGUCCCUUGAUCCAGACACUCCUCAGCAACCAGUCUUUGUAUGGAAUCCACCGUUCUCUAUAAAGAUCUAUUUGUCUCUUCUUCCACUUCCAUCAGGGUCCAGUGACUACUAGGGGGUCUCUGCAAACUUCCAUUGACCACAAGAUAAGGAUUCACUCAAGGAAGGAUUAAAUGCCACCAUCUCACCCCAACCCUUUGGUGCAUCUGCAUUGGAAAUUAUUGGUCAAUUUUUGAGUGAUGGCCUUUCCACCACCAUACCUUUUAAAAUAGUAACAUAUGAAUGGUUAAUUGUUUUAGGCUGCAGCCAUUUAUUUUAAUUUCCAACAAUACAUUUUAAACUGAAAUUGUAUGAAAUGCCAUGUUAUUUUAUGUAUUGUAAAAAAAACAAGUUAUUCAACACCAUUUCAACUAAUGUCAAGCAAUUUUAGAAUGUGACUGUUAUGCAUAAUUACUGCAUCUUCCUUACCACACAAUUCUUAUAACAAUUGACAUAACAACAGUGCAGUUAAGGUCUGACCAUGUCAAAGUUGUAUCAACUGCAGCUUUUAUACAUAAAGUAAAUGGGGUUGUUUAAAUUGAAACCUUUUUGGAAUUAUUUAUUUUUUGAACUUGAACUGUGCAUAGACAAUGCACCAAAUAAUCAAGCAGUUUGUGGUUUUCCCUGUCUGAUGCUUGGACAGUUGUGUGGAACCAGUUUCUCUUCUAUGUAUUUGAUGGUUGUGCUCUUAUGU